UCAAAGUGGAGCUCAGGAUGGAGCAGCUGAUCGAGAGGACCACCAGAGACAAGGAAGCAUUGGGUCAGAGGCAGUUGGUGUGUGUCCUGGGCCAUGAAGAGGAAGAAUAGCAUCUGGGGUUGUGGAAGGUGUUUGCGAAUUAAAGGCUUGGUUUGUACCCAGUGGCAGUUGUCUGCUUGUUGGCUGUGCUUAUUUUGCAAUGCACCAACUGAUUUAGAGGCUGCGCAGAGAC
Long non-coding RNA from Toxotes jaculatrix (banded archerfish), 232 nucleotides. RefSeq lists it as uncharacterized. The transcript is spliced from 3 exons. Lineage: Eukaryota; Metazoa; Chordata; Actinopteri; Toxotidae. The record is from RefSeq and is a predicted model, not a curated record.